Camellia sinensis is the source of this 218-nucleotide small nucleolar RNA. RefSeq annotates it as small nucleolar RNA U3. NCBI's taxonomy places the organism in Eukaryota, Viridiplantae, Streptophyta, Magnoliopsida, Ericales, Theaceae. The record is from RefSeq and is a predicted model, not a curated record.
AUGACCUUACUUGAACAGGAUCUUUUUUGUAGGAUUGUAUUUCGGAAUCCUUGAGCUCUAAGGAGUCAGGACCCAACAUCUAGUGGAUGAACAAAGGCCUCUUGACCAAAACGUGAUUAGUGGCUUUGUGGUGCAGCUUGUUAGUCCACAGUUACACAGGGGAACAUUCUCUGCUAAUGCAAACUAGUUGUGAGGGUCAAGUAGUUGUUUGACAAAUU